RNAcentral lists this ribosomal RNA (496 nucleotides) under uncultured bacterium. Its description in RNAcentral is "partial 16S ribosomal RNA". It matches the Rfam family "Bacterial small subunit ribosomal RNA", at positions 29 to 507 of the family's 1533-position model. The record is from RNAcentral.
AUGAACGCUGGCGGCGUGCCUAAUACCUGCAAGUCGAGCGAACAGACGAGGAGCUUGCUCCUCUGACGUUAGCGGCGGACGGGUGAGUAACACGUGGAUAACCUACCUAUAAGACUGGGAUAACUUCGGGAAACCGGAGCUAAUACCGGAUAAUAUAUUGAACCGCAUGGUUCAAUAGUGAAAGACGGUUUUGCUGUCACUUAUAGAUGGAUCCGCGCCGCAUUAGCUAGUUGGUAAGGUAACGGCUUACCAAGGCAACGAUGCGUAGCCGACCUGAGAGGGUGAUCGGCCACACUGGAACUGAGACACGGUCCAGACUCCUACGGGAGGCAGCAGUAGGGAAUCUUCCGCAAUGGGCAAAAGCCUGACGGAGCAACGCCGCGUGAGUGAUGAAGGUCUUCGGAUCGUAAAACUCUGUUAUUAGGGAAGAACAAAUGUGUAAGUAACUAUGCACGUCUUGACGGUACCUAAUCAGAAAGCCACGGCUAACUACGUG